GAAGAAGUUAUGAGGAUCUGAAGUUCACAACAAUAAUAUCAGCACAAGCAUUGGGACGGAUAAUUCCUGAAACAUGCAAAGCAAUUUGUAUUGUUUUAAAAGACUAUGUAAAGUUUCCUCAGAGUGAAAAUGAUUGGAGAAUAAUAUCUGAAGGUUUUAAACGGAGGUGGAAUUUUCCAAACUGUUUAGGAGCAGUUGAUGGGAAACAUGUCAGAAUCGUUAAGCCUUAAUAGUGGAUCAUAUUUUUUUAAUUAUAAAGGCUUUUUCAGUUCAGUAUUAUUAGCUAUUGUUGAUAGUAACUAUCAAUUUAUCCUGGUAAAUUUUGGUAUAAACGGACGUGUGUCAGAUGGCGGUGUAAUUGAAAACACAAUUUUUUAUGAGAAAUUAAAAUCCAAGAAUUUACAUAUUCCAAAUUCAUCUUUUGUUAAUGCAAACAACACAAUUAAGCUACCUUUUGUUUUUAUUGGCGAUUUUCUUUGCGAACAGAUUUUUUGAAACCGUUUGCCCAACGAGAUCUCUCAACACCUAAAAAAAUAUUCAAUUAUCGUCUUUCGCGUGCAAGGAACGUUGUUGAAAAUGCGUUUGGCAUUUUAGCUAGUAGAUUCAGAAUUUAUCACACAGAAAUAAACAUGCAAAUAAAAAAUAUCGAAUCCGUUGUAUUAGCAACCUGCGCGCUUCAUAAUUUUCUUAGACAAAAAAGCAAAGAUUAUUUGGGAUUCAAUUACACUGAUAUUGAAGAUGCUUUCAUUUAUGAAGAAGAACAUGGAUUUACAAAUUUAAAACGAGGACAAAAUAGGCAUGCUUCGGACCAAGGCAAAGAAGUUAGGAACGCAUUUUUGGAAUAUUUUAUAACUGAUGGAAAAGUUUCGUGGCAAGAAAAUGCUAUAAAAUAAACAUAAAUAUUCCCUUUUUAUAAAAUUAAUCCUACUUUGUCAAGUGUGUAAACUUUUUGAACUGAAUUAAAAUAUAAAAAAUGUUUCUUAAAAAUGUUGGUGCAACCCAUCCAGAAUAUUGUACUGAUAGUACUUUUGCUUAUAGCUUACUAUUUUUUUUAUUAAAUCAAAGAGUAAUGAAUAAAUUGGUUUAUUUUUUAAAAACUUACAAAAACACUCCUUUUAUUUAUGUAAUGUAACAUAUUGUGUAACAAAAAAUGUUUAAUAAUAACAAAUAAACAGAAGUACUAAACCUUUAA
RNAcentral lists this unclassified non-coding RNA (1192 nucleotides) under Onthophagus taurus. Its description in RNAcentral is "uncharacterized LOC111419433, transcript variant X2". The record is from RNAcentral. Lineage: Eukaryota; Metazoa; Arthropoda; Insecta; Coleoptera; Scarabaeidae.